CAUGGCUGCAGUCACCAUCUGCAGUGAUUUUGGAGCCCCAAAUAUAAAGUCUGUCACUGUUUCCACUGUUUCCCCAUCUAGCUUUCCCAAGCCUAGCUUCCUUGCCUAAUGAUCACUGGUGCAGCUGCUCCAUGUACCAGUGACCCCCAUAGUCUGAGGAUGAAGCGGCAGUGUCUGUCUUCCCAUCAAACUCACACAUGCUGUAAUUCAAGAAAUACUCAACAAAUGAAAAAUAGAUCGAUACUUUUACACUUGGAUUGAGUCACAGAGAGCCCCUCUGACUUUGCCCUCAGAAAAGUCAGAGGGCAAAGGCCCUUUUGUCCACCAGCAACCACAGACCAGGGCUGCAGGCCUGGGAGCUUUCACUCUUCAGCCCAGAAUAGGACUGAGUUGUUCCAGAGGAAAAUCAAGUUUUUACGGAAGUCUGCAAAACGUUAACGUUAUGUUCACCUCUUUCAUUACUAAGUGCAGUGUUCUCAAAAAUGUCAUGAUAUUUUAUCACAAUUAGAGGCUGUCUCUCUCUGCAGGACUGCCUAAGAUUCUACCAUCAAGGUCAAGAAAUCAAAGGCAGUUGUGAAUGAAAUGUAUCACAUGGAGCCGAAUCAUCCCAGAGGCAAAAUUACAAAAUAAUUUCAAAGAAGUUCCCAGCAUAAUAUUAUAAAUAAUAUGGGUGCAUUUUUUUAGUAUAUAAAAUAUAGUGAGCUAUCUCUAAAUAUUAAUAGAAGAGGAUCAGGGCUUAUGAAUGACCCUGAACUAAAGAUGAUCUUGUUUAGGACAGUUAUUUCUGGAGAAGAGACAAAAAAAAAAGCAAGCUAUGUGGAUGUGGGUUGUUAAUCCUCAAUCUUUGAUAACUCACAGGCACUUCUGAAGACCCCAGACACAAGAUGCUCCCAUCCCUGCCUUCCCAGUCCCAUUGCCAGGGAUACAGGACAGGCUCAGGUCCACGCCCAGGCCACUAUCCCACACCUGAGUCCCUUCACCGUGUCUUUUCCUAAGCACCAGCCAGAGUCAGGCAGGUUGAUGAGCGCUGGGGAAAGAACUCAGGAGCAUAGUCACUGCUCUUGGAGAUUCAUUGAUGAUAUUAAUGAGGCAGGGACAGAUGUGUGUGACAAGUUAGUUGUGACAAGGGGUUCUCAGCCAUUCUGAAUCCCAGCACAGCCCAAUUCCCUUGGCCAACCUCUCCUGCAGUCCUAACUUUCAGAAGAGCCAUCUGGGGACUGUUACUGAUGGUAUUGAAUUCGCUGGGUUCUUGAGUCAUGCUUGAACAUGCUUCUCCAACUAAUCACAAACCGUCCCUUUAUCUGCCCUGUGCCUACAACACACACACACCCCACCGACGUCCCUGAACCACCCAUGUCUGCAAAUGUAGGCAGAAAUAACAAAGCAAAAAAAACAGUUGCAUGUUGAUCAGAACUCACUGACAGAUGCCCAGCAGCCCGCUGGUUGAGAAACUUCGUGUUGCUCAAUGGAACAAAAGUCCAAAGCAACAAGGCGAUGGCCAGGUCACCGGCCCAGAGCAGGCUGGGUGGUCAGGGCAGCAGGAGGGUAUGCGUGCGGGUCUCAGUCACUGGCAGGAAUUGCACGGUCCCUUGCGGGGUGAUGAACAAGGAUGUGGAGAAGUGAGGAUGCAGAGAGCAGGCAGGUGGGCCAGUCUGGACGUGGAUGGCCUUUGACACCCCGCGGAGUGGUCCAGGCUUUGUCCAGUCCCGGAGAAUCUCCAGAGAGUGUUUUAGGGAGGAGAUGACGAUGCUCUGAUGUAUCAGGCGUUUUUUCCAAAGGGCAGAGAUGGCAUUUCUGGUUGGUCCUGAAUGUCUGCCUUGGCCCAGCGGACAGGGCAGUUAACCAUCCAACCAAAUGACACGUGUGCCUACACAGGCUCAUCCCAAAGGACACAGUAAUUGUCUAGCUGCCAGCUGCUCAGAUGCCCUGGCCUUGAAGCUGCCAGUCAGUGAAAGAGGGAGGUCGGGAGGGCGGCAGAGUCCGGUGGAGUCCGUGGGUCAGGCCGCCUGGCGCCCGGCCAGUUCCCACAGCCGCUGGGAAUCCAGCGAGGCGGCUGGGACUACAAGGGCGCUGCAUAAUCAGAAGACACUUGGGGGCCAUGAAGUCCAGUCCCUCGUUGCUGGGUUUUUUUUAAUGGACUCCAGCCGGCGCCCGAGCGAGCGGGCAGCCGCCGGCGAGGCCAUGGCCAACACCGCCGUGCAGCUCCUGGGUUUCCUGCUUUGCUUCCUGGGCCUGGUGGGCACGCUCAUCACCACCGUCCUGCCGCACUGGCGCCGCACGGCGCACGUGGGCACCAACAUCCUGACGGCCGUGUCCUACCUGAAGGGGCUGUGGAUGGAGUGCGUGUGGCACAGCACAGGCAUCUACCAGUGCCAGAUCUACCGCUCGCUGCUGGCGCUGCCCCGCGACCUGCAGGCGGCGCGCGCGCUCAUGGUGGUGUCCUGCCUGCUGUCGGGCGCCGCGUGCGCCAGCGCCGUGGUGGGCAUGCAGUGCACGCGCUGCGCCAAGGGCACCCCGGCCAAGACGGCGUGCGCUGCGGUGGGCGGCGCGCUCUUCCUGCUGGCCGGCCUGCUCUGCCUGGUGGCCGUCUCCUGGACCACCCACGACGUGGUGCAGAACUUCUACAACCCGCUGCUGCCCAGCGGCAUGAAGUUCGAGAUUGGGCAGGCCCUCUACCUCGGCUUCAUCGCCUCGGCCCUGUCGCUCAUCGGCGGCACGCUGCUCUGCCUGGCCUGCCAGGAGGAGGCGCCCACCCGGGCCCCGCCCCGGGCCACCGCGGCCCCCGCCGGCGCCCCCGCGCCCGCCUACCGGCCCCCCGACGCCUACAAAGACAAUCGGGCCCCCUCGGCCGUCUCGGCCUCGCACAGCGGGUAUAGGCUGAACGACUAUGUGUGAGUGCCCCCCCUGGGGGUCGGGGUGGCCUGUCCUCCACCCGUACCUCACCCCCCAUCGUCCGGAGCACCCUCUGCACCCCCCGAGAGGCUGCGAGGACCUAGCCUGCCCACUGAUGGAUUCAAGGCCCGCCUGCAGCAGGUUUCCUUGUGGACUGCGUUAGCAUCCAAAGACAUCAGGCUGGACGACUAUGUGUGAGUCUGGUUGGGGGUGGGCCUGUCUCCACCCCACUAUCCCACCCCCCAUUGCAAGGAGCCCCCCACCCCGAGAGGCUGCGAGGACCUAGCCUGCCCACUGAUGGAUUCAAGGCCCUCCAGCACCAGGCUUACUUCUGGGCUGCUCUGGUGUCCAAAGGCAUCAUGUGAACCUGAGGAAAGGGGCUUAUAACCACAGGGAAAGGGGAAAAUAAGAAGAGGAGAAAAGCUCUCCAUACCAAAGGCUUAAAAGUAAUCCUUGCUGGUUUUGUAUUUAUUCUAUGUAUUUAUGUGGUGGUUUAUGACAGCUGAAUAAAAAAGCGACUUGGGA
Bubalus bubalis (water buffalo) is the source of this 3417-nucleotide long non-coding RNA. RefSeq annotates it as claudin 14. NCBI's taxonomy places the organism in Eukaryota, Metazoa, Chordata, Mammalia, Artiodactyla, Bovidae. The record is from RefSeq and is a predicted model, not a curated record. The transcript has 3 exons.